GAACUGCGAGAUCAUGCGCUGAGCUGAAGUCGGACACCUAACCAACAGCCCCCAGGCGCCCCUCCUUAUUGGCUAAUUUAAAGCCUUGUGUGGGAAUUAAGGUACUGGAAGGGAGAAGCAAGGUUACCGAAAUGGUCAAUUAUCUAGGUUCCUCAGGGCUUUCUGGAACUAGGCGCUUCAUGAAUGAAGAUGGCCCAGUCCCUUCUCUGGUUGUUUUGCUAGUACUUGUGUCAAAAAGCUGGCAAUAUUUCUAUUAUUUAGAAUGGAUGUCUUUUGAAAUGGAUGCCUCAGUGGUCAAAAGCUUAAUGUCAGGUACUUAUUCCUAUGCUAGCUUUUACGCUAAUAAUUGUGUGGUUUUUUUUUUUAAGUGCAUUAAUCUUUUGGGGCGUCUGGGUGGCUCAGUCGGUUAAGCAACCGACUCUUGAUUUUAGCUCGUCAUGAUCUCACAGUUCAUGGGUUCUGGCCCCGCAUGGGGUUUGCUGCUGUCAUUGCGGAGCAAACUCUGUAUCCUCUGUCCCUCUCUCUCUGCCCCUCCCCCGCUCGUGCUCUCUCGAGCGCGCUCUGUCACGUUCAAAAAUAAAUAAACAUUAAAAAAAUAAAAAAUAAAAUACACUCAGAUAAUCCCGUCAGGACUGUUUCACAGGAAGAGACAGCCGAAAUUGCGCCUGGUGGAGUUCGUUCCCACUCACACCCGCUCGGCCGCAGGGUCGUGCCUUCGGCUGUUCUGGGGGGACCCAGCGCCAGGGCGAGCAGCAAGGCUCCCCGAGCGCCGAGACCUAGGCGCGAGCGCGCGUGGGUUUACCGCCGGGUCGCGAGACCUUGGCUGCGGCCGCGGGUUCUGCGCUUGCGCCUGCGCAUUCAGAGCCCGGCGCUGGCCGCGGGAAGGUGUGUCCCGAAGCCCCGGGGCGGUGGUCGCGGAGGCUCCCGGGACAGGGAUGGUGCGCUGUCGGUGGUUCCGCCCCCGCGCCCUGCCAUUCUCCAAAAGAAGGAGGAAAAAUGGUUGUACAUCCGAAAGUCCAGCUCAGCCAUACUGGGAGAUUCUCCAACACACGGGACAUGUCUGAUUCAUCACUGUAUCCAUGCUCCGGGCCCAGGAGAGCAGAGGUCCAAUGAACUGCUGAGCAAAGGAGCGAUCGUGACAAUGGCUAUCAUUUACUGUCCACUCUCUACGUGCCAGGUAUGGUUCUAGAAGCUUUAUAUUGAUUCAAUCUUCUGAAUA
Long non-coding RNA from Leopardus geoffroyi (Geoffroy's cat), 1219 nucleotides. RefSeq lists it as uncharacterized. Lineage: Eukaryota; Metazoa; Chordata; Mammalia; Carnivora; Felidae. The transcript has 3 exons. The record is from RefSeq and is a predicted model, not a curated record.